RNAcentral lists this ribosomal RNA (496 nucleotides) under uncultured bacterium. Its description in RNAcentral is "partial 16S ribosomal RNA". It matches the Rfam family "Bacterial small subunit ribosomal RNA", at positions 28 to 506 of the family's 1533-position model. The record is from RNAcentral.
GAUGAACGCUGGCGGCGUGCCUAAUACAUGCAAGUCGAGCGAACGGACGAGAAGCUUGCUUCUCUGAUGUUAGCGGCGGACGGGUGAGUAACACGUGGAUAACCUACCUAUAAGACUGGGAUAACUUCGGGAAACCGGAGCUAAUACCGGAUAAUAUUUUGAACCGCAUGGUUCAAAAGUGAAAGACGGUCUUGCUGUCACUUAUAGAUGGAUCCGCGCUGCAUUAGCUAGUUGGUAAGGUAACGGCUUACCAAGGCAACGAUGCAUAGUCGACCUGAGAGGGUGAUCGGCCCCUCGGGAGCUGGGACGCGCUCCAGCCCCCGACGUGAGGCAGCAGUAGGGAAUCUUCCGCAAGGGGCGAAAGCCUGACGGAGCAACUCCGCGUGAGUGAUGAAGGUCUUCGGCUCGUAAAACUCUGUUAUUAGGGAAGAACAUAUGUGUAAGUAACUGUGCACAUCUUGACGGUACCUAAGCAGAAAGCCACGCCUAACUACGU